AUUGAACGCUGGCGGCAGGCCUAACACAUGCAAGUCGAACGAGUGGCGGACGGGUGAGUAAUGUCUGGGAAACUGCCCGAUGGAGGGGGAUAACUACUGGAAACGGUAGCUAAUACCGCCUACCAUCGGAUGUGCCCAGAUGGGAUUAGCUAGUAGGUGGGGUAACGGCUCACCUGGGCGACGAUCCCUAGCUGGUCUGAGAGGAUGACUAGCCACACGGGAACUGUGGCACGGUCCAGACUCCUACGGGAGGCAGCAGUGGGGAAUAUUGGACAAAGGGCGCAAGCCGGGUGCGGCCAUGCCGCGUGUAUGAUGGAGGCCUUCGGGUUGUAAAGUACUUUCAGCGAGGAGGCGUUGCUCGCAGAAGAAGCACCGGCUAAAUCCGUGCCAGCAGCCGCGGUAAUUC
This 406-nucleotide ribosomal RNA is filed under the name uncultured bacterium. RNAcentral's name for it is "partial 16S ribosomal RNA". It matches the Rfam family "Bacterial small subunit ribosomal RNA", at positions 30 to 526 of the family's 1533-position model. The record is from RNAcentral.